This is a non-coding RNA of Pseudonaja textilis, 821 nucleotides long. The record is from RefSeq and is a predicted model, not a curated record. NCBI's taxonomy places the organism in Eukaryota, Metazoa, Chordata, Lepidosauria, Squamata, Elapidae.
GCUCAUUUUUGCAAGCUGUAGAAGCCGCAGCCCAAGUUGUGGAAUCUGUUUCUCAAAAAUUGAGGAAGUCGUCACUGGCUUUUCUUCCCACUUGCCUUACGCGUUAAAGCAAUCAACAACUCUUCGCAAACUUUUAAGAAAUGCAUACACCCAUUGACUUCGGCUAAACAAAGAUAAGUUGGGGAGGACGAGAAAAACGUAGCCACAUGAGUGGGCUGAGAGAUAAGAAAAGCAAACUGCAGAAAAAAAGCGAGCUAAGUAAGCAGGGCAGAAACCGGGGAGGCGGGAGGGGGCGGGGUGACUUAGCCUGUAAACGGUAUUUUGCAAAAAGCCUGAAAGCCAGAACCUCCCUCCCAGCCCUACCUUCCCGUCGCCCAUCACGCACGGCUCGAGUUCCCUUGCCAGCAAGCCGAGACCGUAAAAGCGUGAAGCCAGCCGCGCACCAAACUUGCGGGAAAUUCGUGGCAACAGCCAUCUUUCUCCACCCCGAACAAAACGUGGUGUGCAGCCGAGUGAACUUUGCAUCUUGGAACUGCCCUCAGCUUUGCCUGCCCAGGAGAAAGUUGUUUCUAGCAUCAAGUUAAAUAUUAUUUUGCCAUACUUGCUUUGGCCAACAAUGUACAAAUGAUGCUGCCUGAACUGUGAAAUGGAGCCUCUAGAGGAUUUGUGCAAAAUAAUACCAAAUGAAAAAUGACAGAAAAAUUAUGCUUUGGUAGAAAAAUUUGGGGAUACAAUAAAACUGCUUCUGCAACAUUCCUUGAAUUAUCAUAUAAAUAUUCCAAAUUAUUUUAUUGCCAUUCGUAUUGUGUUUUUAUCUAAAA